Long non-coding RNA from Poecilia latipinna (sailfin molly), 569 nucleotides. RefSeq lists it as uncharacterized. NCBI's taxonomy places the organism in Eukaryota, Metazoa, Chordata, Actinopteri, Cyprinodontiformes, Poeciliidae. The record is from RefSeq and is a predicted model, not a curated record. The transcript has 2 exons.
UCUCCAGGACCCCUGAGUAGACCUUACCAGGGAGGCUUAAGAGUGUGACCCCCCUGUAAUUGGAGCACACCCUCUGGUCCCCAUAUUGACUAUCCAUAUUUAUAUGGAUAGGGAAAUAAUCAGUUGAUUUGAGUCUUUAGCAUUAUGUUUGGGCCAGUAUUGAAUUUCUAUACGUGAAAGUUAAAUAUCUGGGUUUGAGCCCAUCAAAACCACAACCUUGAGGUUCUCCAUUGCUGUGUGCUGCUGCAAACAUCAGUGGAGAGUUAACCACAGUUUCUGUAUGCUCAUGUCUUGCCCAGAAGAGAGAGGAACAGAACGUAUAACGGAAAAGCUCACUACCUGGGGUAGAAUUAAGGCACACAUCAACCAGUCGCGCUCUAGCAACUUGCCAGUGGAAAAUCACCCUAAAGGGUAGGUCUACAACCCUGGUCCUACCUACCUACCAUUCUCUGAGUAAAGUUUAUUCCAAACCUCCCUUUCAGCUGUGAGAUGUUUGAGGGGUUCAGCCCCAAGUUGCCCCAUAGCAUCUCUAUAUUAGAGCCAGACAUGGUUGACACAGACAAAAAAAA